CCUACGGGAGGCAGCAGUGAGGAAUAUUGGUCAAUGGACGCAAGUCUGAACCAGCCAUGCCGCGUGCAGGAAGACGGCUCUAUGAGUUGUAAACUGCUUUUGUACGAGGGUAAACGCAGAUACGCGUAUCUGUCUGAAAGUAUCGUACGAAUAAGGAACGGCUAACUCCGUGCCAGCAGCCGCGGUAAUACGGAGGAUUCAAGCGUUAUCCGGAUUUAUUGGGUUGAAGGGGUGCGUAGGCGGUCGGAUAAGUUAGAGGUGAAAUCCCGGGGCUCAACUUCGGAAUUGCCUCUGAUACUGUUCGGCUAGAGAGUAGUUGCGGGAGGCGGAAUGUAUGGUGUAGCGGUGAAAUGCUUAGAGAUCAUACAGAACACCGAUUGCGAAGGCAGCUUACCAAGCUACUUCUGACGUUGAGGCACGAAAGCGUGGGUAUCAAACAGGAUUAGAUACCCGGGUAGUC
Molecule: ribosomal RNA, 460 nt
Filed under: uncultured bacterium
Lineage: Bacteria
Description: partial 16S ribosomal RNA
Rfam family: Bacterial small subunit ribosomal RNA
Source: RNAcentral